Quercus robur (English oak) is the source of this 273-nucleotide long non-coding RNA. RefSeq lists it as uncharacterized. NCBI's taxonomy places the organism in Eukaryota, Viridiplantae, Streptophyta, Magnoliopsida, Fagales, Fagaceae. The transcript is spliced from 2 exons. The record is from RefSeq and is a predicted model, not a curated record.
UGGUUUGUGGAAGAAUCCUCAAACCCAGACACAAAUCACAAACUCAUAAAACUGAGAGAAACCAAAGAAAACACAACCCGAAUUUUCAAACUUAUUUGCUUCUUUUGUAUAACUAGCUAAUCCACAGCCUAAAGGGGAUAAAGAGAGUAAUUGGAGAGCAAAGGGUUUUGAAAAAAGAAAGAUGGCAGGAAGAGAGGUCCGCGAAUACACCAAUCUUACCGACCCUAAAGAUAAGAAAUGGGGGAAAGGAAAGGAGAAGAUAGAUGAUGAAGA